RNAcentral lists this long non-coding RNA (374 nucleotides) under Mytilus galloprovincialis (Mediterranean mussel). The record is from RNAcentral. Lineage: Eukaryota; Metazoa; Mollusca; Bivalvia; Mytilida; Mytilidae.
CAGGGCCGUAACUACAUUGAGGCAAAUGAGGCAAAUGCCUCAUGUUAGAAAUUAAAAAAAAAAAAAAUGAAACAAAAAAUUGACUUCAUAUCAAAUUGUUUUCACGGAAAGUGUCUUGCAAGAGGCAAGUUCUCUUCACUCUCUGGUGUCGCUCCUGCAUGUUUUGCGUGAUUAUGUUUCUAUUCUACUUUUAGUUUUCAGAGUUGAUGGUCUAUUGUUUGUACUUUUGUGUCCCGUGUCUGUCUUUUGUUCAUUUAUUAUCCAACUUUAUGACUAUAGUCUGAGUGUUGAUUUUCAUUUGUAAACGUGUGGUUCUGCAAUGUUGCAUGUCCACCGAUGUCCAGACAUUGCUCGAGAAAAUUUUAAGAAUAUAC